AGCUCCAAUAGCGUAUAUUAAAAUUGUUGCGUCUAAAAAGCUCGUAGUUCGAAAACUUGUCUUGGCUUUCAACUGGUACCGAAUGGUAUCGCCGUUAGUCAUGUGCAAAUAUGGAUAGCUGUUUUAGCCGUCUUUAUUGACUGGUUUAUAAGAGUUAUCAGAUAUCACUUUGAUUAAAUUAGAGUGCUUAAAGCAAGUGUGUUACUUGGAUAUAAAUGCAUGGAAUGAUGGAAUAUGUUGUUAUUCUAUUUGUUGGUUUUUGAAUGAUAAAAUGAUUGAAAGGAACUGUUGGGGGCAUUCGUAUUGUUGUGAGAGAGGUGAAAUUCUUAGACCACAGCAAGACGAACUACUGCGAAAGCAUUUGCCGAGAAUGUUUUCAUUGAUCAAGAACGAAAGUUAGAGGUUCGAAGGCGAUCAGAUACCGCCCUAGUUCUAACCAUAAACUAUGCCAACUAGCAAUUUGCUUUGUAUUUUUUAUGACUAAGUGAGAGGCCACGGGAAACCUAAGUAGGGUUAUGGGGGAAGUAUGGUUGCAAAGCUGAAACUUAAAGGAAUUGACGGAAGGGCACCACCAGGAGUGGAGCCUGCGGCUUAAUUUGACUCAACACGGGAAAACUUACCUGGUCCUGACACUAGAAGGAUUGACAGAUUGAUAGCUCUUUCUUGAUUUGGUGGAUGGUGGUGCAUGGCCGUUCUUAGUUGGUGGAGUGAUUUGUCUGGUUAAUUCCGAUAACGAACGAGACUCUAGCCUGCUAACUAGUCGCUUCCGACAUCCUUUUGCGCUGUCGGCGACACAUAAUCUUCUUAGAGGGACAGGCGG
Molecule: ribosomal RNA, 820 nt
Filed under: uncultured eukaryote
Lineage: Eukaryota
Description: bacterial SSU rRNA
Rfam family: Eukaryotic small subunit ribosomal RNA
Source: RNAcentral